This is a long non-coding RNA of Mastomys coucha (southern multimammate mouse), 330 nucleotides long. RefSeq lists it as uncharacterized. The transcript has 2 exons. The record is from RefSeq and is a predicted model, not a curated record. NCBI's taxonomy places the organism in Eukaryota, Metazoa, Chordata, Mammalia, Rodentia, Muridae.
AGACUUUGCCUACUCCUCAGGAUCUGUCUUCUCAACCUCAGGGUUAGACUCAGACUCUUUGUGUUUCUUCACAGAUGAAGAGUCUGUGGCUCCAGGAUGCGGUGGCCAGAUCUCUUCAGAGCGAGGAUCUCAGGAGAGGGCUAAAUGGCAAGAGCACUUGCUGCUCUUGUAGAAAACCCAGCUUUGAUGCACAGCACUCAAGUCGCUCACAGCCCUCUGUAACUCGCUCCACAGGACCCAGUGCCCUCUGCUGGCCUCCACAGGCAAUGCACAUUUAGUGCAUUUAGGUAGAUGGUGUCAAAACUUAAUAAAAACAAAGAAGGAAACAGA